This 228-nucleotide unclassified non-coding RNA is filed under the name Hevea brasiliensis (rubber tree). Lineage: Eukaryota; Viridiplantae; Streptophyta; Magnoliopsida; Malpighiales; Euphorbiaceae. The record is from RNAcentral.
UCUAAAUGGAAAGAAGAGCAUUUUGUGAUUGUCUCUUUAACUGGCUGGGGAUUACUCUUCUAUGGAGGUUACAAGUUCUUUACUGGAGACAAGAAAGACAAGAAGGAAGAGAAGGUUGGAGAAAAAUCACACUAGGUUUGGAAUACUACCCAAAUAUAUCUAGAAGUAAAUCUGGGAUGAGGAUGUUUUUCACAUGUUAAGACCCUCCAGUUUUGGACAGUUUUAUUU